CAACUUCUCAGAGUUG
RNAcentral lists this ribosomal RNA (16 nucleotides) under Tolypocladium inflatum. RNAcentral's name for it is "partial 28S ribosomal RNA". The record is from RNAcentral. Lineage: Eukaryota; Fungi; Ascomycota; Sordariomycetes; Hypocreales; Ophiocordycipitaceae.